This is a long non-coding RNA of Piliocolobus tephrosceles (Ugandan red Colobus), 1450 nucleotides long. RefSeq lists it as uncharacterized. NCBI's taxonomy places the organism in Eukaryota, Metazoa, Chordata, Mammalia, Primates, Cercopithecidae. The transcript has 4 exons. The record is from RefSeq and is a predicted model, not a curated record.
ACAGCCUCUACACUGAAAGCUCUGGUUCCUAUCACUUCUUUUAUAGUGCAAAUCUCAGUUAAUUUCUAUUCUCAUUCUCCUUUGUCUCCUCUCUUCUCUUUCAAUCUCACUCUACACUCUUCUCCUUGGGUUACUAAGGAGAAACAUAUCCCUUUAUUUUUGUACUUGUAGCAGUUUUUGUACUGCUCUUAAUAACCGUUAGCACAGGCUACGUUCUCACUUUACCUGUACACAUGAUUACUGCUGUCGUUUGUUUGUAUGUAUUGCUCCAAAAUGCAUAUGAUGGAACUUAACCCCCUAGGUGGUGGUAUUAAGAGGUGGGGUGCUUCAGAGGUCACUAGGCUAUGAGAAUUCUGCCCUCAUGGAUAAGAUAAAUGCCCUUUUAAAAAAUGCAUCAUAGAGCUGCCUCUCUGCUCCCAUGCCUUUUACCAUAUGAGGAAGCUAGACUGCAUUAUCUCUGAGGAAUGAGCCUUUUCUUUUCUAUUCUCCUUCUACCAUGUGAGGACACAGCUUUACCUCCUUCUCCAGAGGAUGCAACAAUAAGGCACCAUCUUGGAAGCAGAAAGCAGCCCUCACCAGACACCAAAUCUGCCAGCACAUUUGAUCUUGGAUUUCCCAGACUCCAGAACUACAGGGUCUUGCUCCGUUACCCAGACUGAGGUCAAUGGCAUGAUCACAGCUCACUGCAUCCUCGAAAUCCCAGGCUCAACCAAACCUCCCAGCUCAGCCUCCCUCAUAGCUGGUGCUACAGGGAUUUGAGCAUCCAUUGAUUUUCGUAUCUGUGAGGGGUCUUGACACCAAUCCUCUGUGGAUACUAAAAUUUUCUGUGGAGCUGCUUGGGAGCCUGAGACAAUGCAUUUAGCACCAGUCUAAGCAACACAGCAAGACCUCAUCCCAAACAACGUUUUUCUUUCUGUGGAUAUGGAAGAUGAAAUACCAGUUUUGGAUAGAGAAAGCUUGUAUCUGGAAAGAACUCACCUUCAGAAUCUGAGUAUGUUUUAAAAAUCAUAUUUUAAAUGACAAAUAAUAAUUAUGUGUAUUUAUAAGAUACCGUGUGAUUCUUUGAUAAAUGUAUACAAUGUGGAAAUCAGCUUAUGUAAUAAAUGCAUUACCUCACACACUACUUUUUUUUGGGGGGGGGGAAUUUAAAAUCUAUUAUUUUAGCAAUUUUGAGAUACGCAAUGCAUUUUUAUUUGUUAUAGUCACCAUUCUUGCAAUAGAUAACUGAAAUGUAUUCCACCUGUCUGAAACUUUAUGCCCUUUGACCAGCUUCUCUCUUUUCCCCAUUCAUGCCCCUACCCCAGCCUCUGGUAACCAUCAUACUCUCUGAUUCUAUAAGUUCAACUUUUUUGGAUUCCACCUGUAAGUGAAAUCAUGCAGUAUUUUUCUUUUGGUACAUGGUUAUUUCACUUAGCAUAAUAUCCUCCAGGUUCAUCCAUGUUAUUGCAAA